AAUUUCACGCGACCGUUACGUGCCCCCGACCGUUGGGUCUCGUUCCUUCGGUGACGUGCGCAGUCGAGCGGACGUGUACGCAAUUCGGGAAGCGCCGAUCUCUCACCGCGAGCCACACCGCCUCUUAAGGCCGCCUUUUUCUCCUUUGACGUGUGGAAUCUUCCAGCGCUUCGGAAGUAGGCCUCCGCCUCUGCACCGAGCGCGGUGUUCCAGACGAUUUCCAGACGACAGGGUUCCAGACGACACGUCGCGCUGUAAGAAGCACCGCGUGCUGCCGCAGCACUGCACCCUGCUGAAGAUCCUCUGGCUCUGUUCCUGGACCGUUCUCCGGCUUCGAGCGAAUAAUCCACUCCAGCCAUGACUGAGAUGUCUGAGAUGUCGUCAUUCGGAGGCGACGGGCUCUCCGGUAUUGAGUCGUCGGCCAUGAGCGAAAGUGUGAUUACCGGUG
Non-coding RNA from Dermacentor albipictus, 448 nucleotides. NCBI's taxonomy places the organism in Eukaryota, Metazoa, Arthropoda, Arachnida, Ixodida, Ixodidae. The record is from RefSeq and is a predicted model, not a curated record.